UUGGAUUACGGCAUCCCUCUUCCAAAUUAUAAAAUAUUGUGUUGGGUCCUAGCCUUAAUAUUUCAUAUUGGGUGUUAUAUUAAGGACUUUGAAUCAACUAAUUUGAUUUUCUCCCAUUAUAGAUGUUUGGUUCAGACAACUAUGAUCUUCCCAACUCUCUUGAAGAUGGUGUCCCUCAACAUCAUGCUUCACUUCCUCCACCUCCUCCAAUUAUUCUCCCUCACCCACAAGUUCUUGAAAAGUUUAAAGUCACUCAAUCCCUAUUGGCAAGCAUAGUCUAUGUGUGCUCACAUCUUGGAGAUAAAGUCACAUAUUGACAAGCCGGGAGAGUUGGGUGUCAAAGUCUCGUGAAAGUUGGAUGUUCAAUCACUUUCUUAGUAACAUAGUGAGUCUCUUUGGGACUACUAUGAGACAGACUAUGACAUGACCCUUAAUGGUCUUAUCUAUUUGCUUUGUGCUGCAGAAUCAACAAUGAUUUGGAGCACUAGUAAAGCAAAUUUUAUUAGAAGAUCAACUUCCCAAAUCUUAAAUGGACUUUGGCAAUGGUAGCAUUGGAUAUCUAGAAAAGAUUUCUCUUCCCAAUGGAAAGGGAUCGGCUAUAGUCAACUUCGGUUGACCAAAUGGUAAAGAGAAAGGCUAAGUCUGAGAUAGUCUCAUGUGCCAUUACCAAAGGGUCCAUGUGUUUUGUUGCCAAAGGAAGGGGCAUUGGUUGCGAAGCUGCCCUAUUUACCUGAAAGAUCAUAAGAUUGGUUAAGUCAAAAAGUUUGACUCUACUUCGGGUAAAGUCCACUGUCUAACUCUAUUAAGUUCCUAUUUGGAGAUUCUUAUUACAUAAUGUGAAUGGGUCACAUGCUGAUGUUUUAAGAAUCAAAGAAGAGAUAGGAAACUUAAACUAAGUAUAUGUUGAUGCUGAUUGCGCAUAAUGUGAAUGGGUCACAUGCUGAUGUUUUAAGAAUCAAAGAAGAGAUAGGAAACUUAAACUAAGUAUAUGUUGAUGCUGAUUGCGAAGGUGGGUUUCAAUCACAUGGUUCGGUAAUCAGAAUUUUGAGCUGUUGCUUAAGAGUUAUAAUAUAUUGCUUAUGAAUAGAUAAAAACAAGGUUUUCAUGUGGAUUGUAAGGAUAAGUUUUUUUGCAAAGUUUUAAAAUAAAAGAAUAAAAGGGGUUUUAAUUUUAUUUAUUUUAAAAAUAUCCUUACAAUGGCAUCUGUGAAAAAUUGUUGCUUAUAUGUUUCCAGUAAUAGCAAUAUUGGAAAGUGGAUUUGAUUCUUUCAUUUGUGGUAGUGUCUGAAUUUACCAAAUGAAGAAAGUUUUUCAUCACCCAAGUUUCAAUUGGACAGAAACUUGGAAUCAUACAAGUUGUAUUGUAUGAUGAAUGAGAAUUUUCAUCUUUGAAAAUUAAGACUAAUUCUUUGAUCACAUGUAUAUGUGAGUCAAUUGAAGGACUAAGGAAUUAGGUACACUGGGUGUGCGCUGGUCAAGGUCCACCACAAAGAUUGAUUUGUCAUGAUUUACUAAAGAUUAGUAAAUAUGAUUAUACUUAUGAGGUUAAGUAUAAUUCUGUAACAUUGGAAAGGUUACAAUGUAUGACAAAACAAAUGAGAAGAAUCAAAUUAGGCAGAAAGAUAAAAGUUUCUCAAAUCUGAAAGGAUGGGAGAGUACUUUAGUAUCAUAUUUCAUGAUCAUCUUAAUGAUUAUGAAACCAUAUCACAAAUUCAUACUCUAAGGACGUCUUAGUGCAUUGUUAUGGCUAAGAAGAGAGGUCAUGAAUUGUUGGAUUGGUUAAAAUCAAGAAGAUGAGUCAUACUUCGUUCCAAAACAAUUCUUAGAGUCAUACUCCAAGAUUGUAACUUUGAGUGACAUAAAGGAAGAUUUAUUAACACUAGUCAAAUGUAAGAGUAAAAUGUUUUCUACUCUUGUACAUUUGAGAUUGGUAAGUUGUGAUGUCUUGGAUGAGACAAAGACCAACUAAGACCAAUUGUGUGAAGUGUUAGUCUUGAUAAGAAUCCGCACUAUCCCUUGAAUAUUUGUUUUGUCAAGGAAUGGUUCUUGACUGGGGAAACUUAUAUGUCAAGGGGACAGUGGG
This 2082-nucleotide long non-coding RNA is filed under the name Lactuca sativa (garden lettuce). Its description in RNAcentral is "long non-coding RNA (LSAT_LNC010170)". Lineage: Eukaryota; Viridiplantae; Streptophyta; Magnoliopsida; Asterales; Asteraceae. The record is from RNAcentral.